GGAGAUAUGGCCGAGUGGUCUAAGGCGCCGUCUUAAGGUGAGUCCUCCCGUCCGGGUGGGUAAUCCGGCGGUCUUCGGGCGUGGGUUCGAAUCCCACUGUCUUCA
This is a transfer RNA of Puccinia triticina 1-1 BBBD Race 1, 105 nucleotides long. It matches the Rfam family "tRNA". From Rfam's summary of the family: Transfer RNA (tRNA) molecules are approximately 80 nucleotides in length. The record is from Rfam. Lineage: Eukaryota; Fungi; Basidiomycota; Pucciniomycetes; Pucciniales; Pucciniaceae.